UCUGCUACGUGUCACUCACCAGGUGCCAGGCAGGGCAUGCGGCCUCAGAGGCAGUGCAGGGAUGAAGAUAGAUCCCCGCCCUCCGGGAGCUCACAGGCUGGGGUGAACAGCCUUUCUCUCUUCUUCUUCUCCUGUGAAUCAGCUCGGGGUGGACCCCGUCACCGAGCAGCAACACGCGCUGUGGAACAUGGAGGAUGGUCAGGUCAGCUCUGACAGAGAGGGAAAAGGAGCUCGCAACGCUGAGGGUGGGUGGCCAAAAGUAUCACGUAGUGUGUGCUAUAGGAAUGCCUGUUCGCACUGCUCGACGCCCCGCCACACGAUAAAAGUUUACAGGUGAGAAGCUGAGUCCCAGGCUAAAACAUGGGGGGCCCGGGGACACCUGCUGGCACCAGCUGUUGUACUUCAAGCAUGACACCGGUCUGCCUUUGGGUAUUAACGGCAGGGACGAGAGGGUGAGACCACCAGCAAGGUGCCUGACCCAGAGGAGUGGCCCCAACAGCGGAGGGAAGGUCCGCCCCCUUCAGCCAUUCCUUAAUAUACUCUUUCAUGUGGCCAAAAUUUGCAGCACAGGAGCUGAGGCCCAGGCCUCCUCACAGGAGUUCCUUGGAGAGAGCGGGGAGUUAAUCUCAGAAGGCUUCCUGCAGGAGGCAGCCCUUAGGCAGCGUCACACCUCCUGAGGACAGCCAGGAGGACUCCGGCUUUUGCUGAACCUUGCAUCUUGCCUCCUUCCUUCCAAAGGCUCCAGACCCAAGUUCGGCUGCCCUGGAGUCCUGCGUGGCCCCUGGCCAGGCCCUCUGCUGCCCCUCCAGGCCAGCCCAGUUCUGGAGCUCACCUCCAGGACCUGGAGCCUGCCCUCCUGCCCAGAAUGACUCACCAUUAUUUCUCGCUCAAGUGAGAAGGCGUGAUGGGCAGCCAGGCUGCCUAUUUGUGUAUCUAGGAUUCCCACAGUAUCUGAUCAGCUCUGUGUGGAGGAGAGCUUCGGGUUCCUGCCUUGCCAGCCAAGCGAGGCUGUCUCUCCAGCUCUCAGAGAGCCCUCAGGGCUCUGCCACGGGAACCCAGGCCGAUGCUUCUACAUUUCCAGGGGCCGUAAGCAGCACCCUGAGCUCCCUGCCACCAGGCAGCUGGAAGGCAUAGUGUGAGG
This 1141-nucleotide long non-coding RNA is filed under the name Suricata suricatta (meerkat). RNAcentral describes it as "lncRNA (ENSSSUG00005023704.1)". The record is from RNAcentral. Lineage: Eukaryota; Metazoa; Chordata; Mammalia; Carnivora; Herpestidae.